AGAUUGAACGCUGGCGGCAUGCCUUACACAUGCAAGUCGAACGGCAGCACGGGGGCAACCCUGGUGGCGAGUGGCGAACGGGUGAGUAAUACAUCGGAACGUAUCCUGUAGCGGGGGAUAACCUCUCGAAAGAGAGGCUAAUACCGCAUACGACCUACGGGUGAAAGGAGGGGGAUCGC
RNAcentral lists this ribosomal RNA (179 nucleotides) under uncultured soil bacterium. RNAcentral's name for it is "partial 16S ribosomal RNA". It matches the Rfam family "Bacterial small subunit ribosomal RNA", at positions 26 to 218 of the family's 1533-position model. The record is from RNAcentral.